GAAUUCGCCCUUAGAGUUUGAUCCUGGCUCAGGAUGAACGCUGGCGGCGUGCUUAACACAUGCAAGUCGAACGAGAAGUGGAGACGGAAACCUUCGGGCGGAAGACUUUAUUUCGAGUGGCGGACGGGUGAGUAACGCGUGGGUAACCUGCCUCAUACAGGGGGAUAACAGUUGGAAACGACUGUUAAUACCGCAUAAGACCACAGCACCGCAUGGUGCGGGGGUAAAAACUCCGGUGGUAUGAGAUGGACCCGCGUUCGAUUAGCCAGUUGGCGGGGUAACGGCCCACCAAAGCGACGAUCGAUAGCCGAUCUGAGAGGAUGACCGGCCACAUUGGGACUGAGACACGGCCCAAACUCCUACGGGAGGCAGCAGUGGGGAAUAUUGCACAAUGGGGGAAACCCUGAUGCAGCGACGCCGCGUGAGUGAAGAAGUAUUUCGGUAUGUAAAGCUCUAUCAGCAGGGAAGAAAAUGACGGUACCUGAGUAAGAAGCCCCGGCUAACUACGUGCCAGCAGCCGCGGUAAUACGUAGGGGGCAAGCGUUAUCCGGAUUUACUGGGUGUAAAGGGAGCGCAGACGGCUCUGCAAGUCUGAAGUGAAAGCCCGCGGCUUAACCGCGGGACUGCUUUGGAAACUGCAAGGCUUGAGUAUCGGAGGGGCAGGCGGAAUUCCUAGUGUAGCGGUGAAAUGCGUAGAUAUUAGGAAGAACACCGGUGGCGAAGGCGGCCUGCUGGACGAAAACUGACGUUGAGGCUCGAAGGCGUGGGGAGCAAACAGGAUUAGAUACCCUGGUAGUCCACGCGGUAAACGA
This 812-nucleotide ribosomal RNA is filed under the name uncultured bacterium. RNAcentral describes it as "bacterial SSU rRNA". It matches the Rfam family "Bacterial small subunit ribosomal RNA", at positions 1 to 809 of the family's 1533-position model. The record is from RNAcentral.